GGCCGCACAGCGAGAACAUGUGGUUAAUUCGAUGAUACGCGAGGAACCUACCGGGCUGAAUUGCAUAUGCAUAGGCCGAGACGGUCUUCCUUCGGGGCUUAUGUGAAGGUGCUGCAUGGUUGUCGUCAGCUCGUGCCGUGAGGUGUCGGCUUAAGUGCCAUAACGAGCGCAACCCUUGCUACCAGUUGCCAUCACGUUAUGGUGGGCACUCUGGUGGGACUGCCGGUGACAAGCCGGAGGAAGGUGGGGAUGACGUCAAGUCAUCAUGGCUCUUACGAGUUGGGCUACACACGUGCUACAAUGGCAACUACAAAGAGGAUCGAGGCUGUGAGGCCAAGGCAAUCUUAAAAAGUUGUCUCAGUUCGGAUUGUUCUCUGCAACUCGAGAACAUGAAGUUGGAAUCGCUAGUAAUCGCGGAACAGCAUGCCGCGGUGAAUACGUUCCCGGGUCUUGUACACACCGCCCGUCACGCCAUGGGAGUUGGUUCUGCCUGACGGCGUUGAGGUAACCUAGCAAUAGGAGCCUGGCGACCACGGUAGGGUCAGCGACUGGGGCG
This 556-nucleotide ribosomal RNA is filed under the name uncultured rumen bacterium. RNAcentral describes it as "bacterial SSU rRNA". It matches the Rfam family "Bacterial small subunit ribosomal RNA", at positions 919 to 1482 of the family's 1533-position model. The record is from RNAcentral.